This 759-nucleotide ribosomal RNA is filed under the name Gordonia sp. (in: high G+C Gram-positive bacteria). RNAcentral describes it as "bacterial SSU rRNA". It matches the Rfam family "Bacterial small subunit ribosomal RNA", at positions 31 to 806 of the family's 1533-position model. The record is from RNAcentral. Lineage: Bacteria; Bacillati; Actinomycetota; Actinomycetes; Mycobacteriales; Gordoniaceae.
GAACGCUGGCGGCGUGCUUAACACAUGCAAGUCGAACGGAAAGGCCCCUUCGGGGGUACUCGAGUGGCGAACGGGUGAGUAACACGUGGGUGAUCUGCCCCUGACUCUGGGAUAAGCCUGGGAAACUGGGUCUAAUACCGGAUAUGACCUCCUGCUUCAUGGUGGGUGGUGGAAAGUUUUUCGGUCAGGGAUGGGCCCGCGGCCUAUCAGCUUGUUGGUGGGGUAAUGGCCUACCAAGGCGACGACGGGUAGCCGACCUGAGAGGGUGAUCGGCCACACUGGGACUGAGACACGGCCCAGACUCCUACGGGAGGCAGCAGUGGGGAAUAUUGCACAAUGGGCGCAAGCCUGAUGCAGCGACGCCGCGUGAGGGAUGACGGCCUUCGGGUUGUAAACCUCUUUCGCCAGGGACGAAGCGUGAGUGACGGUACCUGGAGAAGAAGCACCGGCCAACUACGUGCCAGCAGCCGCGGUAAUACGUAGGGUGCGAGCGUUGUCCGGAAUUACUGGGCGUAAAGAGCUCGUAGGCGGUUUGUCGCGUCGUCUGUGAAAUUCUGCAACUCAAUUGCAGGCGUGCAGGCGAUACGGGCAGACUUGAGUACUACAGGGGAGACUGGAAUUCCUGGUGUAGCGGUGAAAUGCGCAGAUAUCAGGAGGAACACCGGUGGCGAAGGCGGGUCUCUGGGUAGUAACUGACGCUGAGGAGCGAAAGCGUGGGGAGCGAACAGGAUUAGAUACCCUGGUAGUCCACGCCGUAAA